This 301-nucleotide ribosomal RNA is filed under the name uncultured bacterium. RNAcentral describes it as "partial 16S ribosomal RNA". It matches the Rfam family "Bacterial small subunit ribosomal RNA", at positions 509 to 807 of the family's 1533-position model. The record is from RNAcentral.
CAGUAGCCGCGGUAAUACGAAGGGGGCUAGCGUUGUUCGGAAUCACUGGGCGUAAAGGGUGCGUAGGCGGAUUCUUAAGUCAGGGGUGAAAUCCCGAGGCUCAACCUCGGAACUGCCUUUGAUACUGGGGAUCUUGAGUCCGGAAGAGGUGAGUGGAACUGCGAGUGUAGAGGCGAAAUUCGUAGAUAUUCGCAAGAACACCGGUGGCGAAGGCGGCUCACUGGUCCGGAACUGACGCUGAGGCACGACAGCGUGGGGAGCAAACAGGAUUAGAUACCCCUGUAGUCCCUGUCUCUUAUAC